ACGGCCACACCUAGGCGAAAACACCAGUUCCCGUCCGAUCACUGCAGUUAAGCGUUUGAGGGUCUCGUUAGUACUAUGGUUGGAGACAACAUGGGAAUCCGGGAUGCUGUAGGCU
This 115-nucleotide ribosomal RNA is filed under the name Schizosaccharomyces octosporus yFS286. The record is from RNAcentral. Lineage: Eukaryota; Fungi; Ascomycota; Schizosaccharomycetes; Schizosaccharomycetales; Schizosaccharomycetaceae.